This 424-nucleotide ribosomal RNA is filed under the name uncultured bacterium. Its description in RNAcentral is "partial 16S ribosomal RNA". It matches the Rfam family "Bacterial small subunit ribosomal RNA", at positions 354 to 796 of the family's 1533-position model. The record is from RNAcentral.
GUGGGGAAUCUUGCGCAAUGGGCGAAAGCCUGACGCAGCCAUGCCGCGUGAAUGAUGAAGGUCUUAGGAUUGUAAAAUUCUUUCACCGGGGACGAUAAUGACGGUACCCGGAGAAGAAGCUCCGGCUAACUUCGUGCCAGCAGCCGCGGUAAUACGAAGGGGGCUAGCGUUGCUCGGAAUUACUGGGCGUAAAGGGCGCGUAGGCGGACAGCUUAGUCAGAGGUGAAAGCCCAGGGCUCAACCUUGAAUUGCCUUUGAUACUGGCUGUCUUGAGUUUGGGAGAGGUGAGUGGAACUCCGAGUGUAGAGGUGAAAUUCGUAGAUAUUCGGAAGAACACCAGUGGCGAAGGCGACUCACUGGCCCAAUACUGACGCUGAGGCGCGAAAGCGUGGGGAGCAAACAGGAUUAGAAACCCGUGUAGUCC